AUUUUAUUGAGGAUUUUUGCAUCGAUAUUCAUAAGAGAAAUUGGUCUGAAGUUCUCUAUCUUUGUUGGGUCUUUCUGUGGUUUAGGUAUCAGAGUA
This 96-nucleotide microRNA precursor is filed under the name Trypanosoma congolense IL3000. Lineage: Eukaryota; Euglenozoa; Kinetoplastea; Trypanosomatida; Trypanosomatidae. The record is from RNAcentral.